AUAAUUGAGGAUUUGAUCCUGGUCCAGGAUGAACGCUGGCGGCGUGGAUAAGGCAUGCAAGUCGAACGAACAGAUAUCGGAGUUCGGAGAUCAGAAAUCAGAACUUCUAACAAAAUUAUGUAUACAAACUUAGAAGUUUAUAAUCGCUCUCAAAAACUUUAUCCAAGAAUAAUUGCACUUACUAAGAGUUUUCCUAAUAAUGCAAGGCACCUAAAAGAUCAACUUUGCAGAUCUGCAAAUUCUAUUCACAGCAAUAUUGCAGAGGGUUACGGAAGAUCUAUUGCAGAGUUUAAAAUGUAUUUAACAAGAUCAUUGGGUUCUUGUAAUGAAACAAGAAGUCAUCUAAAUGAUGCAGUAAAUUCAAAUUUUUGUGAUAUAAGUUUAGCGAAAGAAUUGUUAGACGAAUAUGAGAUUGUGAGUAAGCAACUUUUUCGUUUGCGAGAGCGGUGGAAGUAGAAAUCUAUCCGAUUUCCGACUUCCGAUCUCCGAUGUCUGUGAGUGGCGAACGAGUUAGUAACACCUUGGAAUCUACCUCGAAGACGGGGAUAACUCCGCGAAAGCGGAGCUAAUACCCGAUAGUCCCAGCGUUGAUUUUGAAAAACAAAAAGGGGUGGACAGAACCCAUCCCCAUAAAGAUUAUUAAUACCGCUAUUGUGGCUUAGGCCCAAGGACGGCAAGAACAAUAAAGCCUCCUACAAUCAGCAUGCUCCCCAAUAUAAUCUUGAUGAUCACUGACUUGGUACGUUUUGGCGGUAAGACCCAACCCCCUAACAUAAUAUCGAAUACCCCCAGCCAUCUGUGUAUUCCGCUAGAAAGCAUCCAAAUUCCAGACCCAGAUAACGCCAUGAAGAGCAAGAAGGGCCAGUGCACUGUAAUACCUCCUGCCUCAGCAUGUAUUAUUAAGGAUACUAUCAAAUUGUUUAGUUGUCAAGUGUUUUUCAAAAUCAGCGCUGGGUAAGGCCGCAAGGCGCUUCGAGAGGAGCCUAGGUCCUAUCAGCUAGUUGGUGGGGUAGUGGCCCACCAAGGCUAUGACGGGUAGGGGAUGUGAGAGCAUGACCCCCAACGGCGACAAUGAGAUACGAGUCGCACACCUACGGGUGGCAGCAGUCAAGAAAAUUCCACAAUGGGCGAAAGCCUGAUGGAGCGACGCCGCGUGCAGGAAGAAGGUCUUCGGAUUGUAAACUGCUUUUUAUCGGGAACAAGUCCGGCCCUUUUGGGUUACGACAAAAUAAAAAAAGCUGCCAAUCGGCAGCACUACCAAUAACUAAUUAUAUUUCUCUAAACAAACUCCCUUUUUGAGCUGAUUCUGUGCGAGCAAUUGUGCUAACCGGGGUAAGGAGCGUGAGAUCAGACAAAUUGGCAUCCCGUGCAAUUUGUUGCGCAAAUCUGAUUGCUUCCUGCUUAUCGUCUUUUUCAAAGAAAGCAACAACCUUGGGACGGACGGUUAGAGGAAAUUGCAUUAGCAAAUACUGAGAUGGCAUGCGCUUUACUCCCUAGAGGAUGGCGAGCUAAGUAUAAGUAUAUUGGGAGAUUGUAUUUUUGUCAAGUCGUAGUUCAAAAGGGCCGGAUUGAGCGUACCGAUAGAAUAAGGCGCUGCAAACUCUGUGCCAGCAGCCGCGGUAAUACAGAGGCGUCAAGCGUUAUCCGGAUUUAUUGGGCGUAAAGGGUCUCCAGGCGGUUUUGUUAGUCUGGCGUUAAAUCCCACUGCUUAACGGUGGGGCUGCGUUAGAUACGGCAAAACUAGAGGGAUGGAGAGGGAGUAGGAACUCACGGUGUAGGGGUGAAAUCCGUUGAUAUCGUGGGGAACACCAAAGGCGAAGGCAAACUCCUGGCCAUCUCCUGACGCUCAUGAGACGAAAGCGUGGGGAGCAAAAAGGAUUAGAUACCCUUGUAGUCCACGCCCUAAACGAUGCGCGCUCGCUGUUCCGAGUAUCGACCCUCGGAGUGGCUUAGCUUACGCGUUAAGCGCGCCGCCUGGGAAGUACGGCCGCAAGGCUAAAACUCAAAGGAAUAGACGGGGAUUCGCACAAGCGGUGGACCAUGUGGUUCAAUUCGACGACAACCGAGGAACCUCACCAGGGCUUGAAAUGUUUAUGAUGUUCCAGCGAAAGUUGGAAUUUCUCACAAGGACAUAAGCACAGGUGCUGCACGGCCCUCGUCAGUUCGUGGUGUAAAUUGUUCCCUUAAGUGGGGUAACGAACGCAACCCCUAUUGCCUGUUAUAUGUGUCAGGCAAGACCGCCCCGCUCUUUUGGCAGUAUAAGAUUUGUUGAUAUGAUUGAGAUAUGUACUACGUUUACCUUAUUAAAAGCAGGAAACGAGAUUUUUUGUAUGUUGGUAGCACUGAUGAUCUCCGGAGGAGAUUUUCUGAGCACAACAACAGGAAAGAACCGUCAACAAAAUUUUAUGCGCCGUUUCAACUGAUAUAUUUAUGAAGCUUAUAGUAGUAAGAAGGACGCACUAAUUCGUGAAAAUAAAUUAAAGCAUCACGGUGCAGUGAUUGGUCAUUUGAAACGGCGAGUCAAGCACAGCUUGACUGAAUAGCUACGGUCCCGCUCUUUUAGCUUUGCUAUAAGAGCGGGGCUGGACAUAGUGCCAAAAGAGCGGGGAGGAAGGUGGGGACGACGCGAGGUCAGCGUGGCCCUCUGAUGCCCUGGGCUACACACGUGGUACAAUGGCGCGUACAAUGGGUUGCCAAGCCGCAAGGUGGAGCUAAUCCCAUCAAAGCGCGCCCCAGUUCAGAUUGAAGUCUGCAACUCGACUUCAUGAAGUAGGAAUCGCUAGUAAACGCAAAUCAGCUAUGUUGCGUUGAAUACGUUCUCGAAUCUUGUACUCGGGACGCCAUGCGAUCUUCUUUUUC
RNAcentral lists this ribosomal RNA (2859 nucleotides) under Candidatus Sungiibacteriota bacterium. Its description in RNAcentral is "bacterial SSU rRNA". The stretch from base 811 to 2859 matches the Rfam family "Bacterial small subunit ribosomal RNA". Lineage: Bacteria; Candidatus Sungiibacteriota. The record is from RNAcentral.